CAGCCGCCGCGGUAAAACCGAGGGUGCAAGCGUUAAUCGGAAUUACUGGGCGUAAAGCGCGCGUAGGUGGUUUGUUAAGUUGGAUGUGAAAUCCCCGGGCUCAACCUGGGAACUGCAUCCAAAACUGGCAAGCUAGAGUAUGGUAGAGGGUGGUGGAAUUUCCUGUGUAGCGGUGAAAUGCGUAGAUAUAGGAAGGAACACCAGUGGCGAAGGCGACCACCUGGACUGAUACUGACACUGAGGUGCGAAAGCGUGGGGAGCAAACAGGAUUAGAUACCCCGGUAGUCCCUGUCUCUUAUAC
Molecule: ribosomal RNA, 301 nt
Filed under: uncultured bacterium
Lineage: Bacteria
Description: partial 16S ribosomal RNA
Rfam family: Bacterial small subunit ribosomal RNA
Source: RNAcentral